ACAGGGGGGGCAAGCGUUGUUCGGAAUUACUGGGCGUAAAGGGUUCGUAGGUGGCCAACUAAGUCAGACGUGAAAUCCCUCAGCUUAACUGGGGAACUGCGUCUGAUACUGGUUGGCUUGAGUGCAGGAGAGGAACGCGGAAUUCCAGGUGUAGCGGUGAAAUGCGUAGAUAUCUGGAGGAACACCGGUGGCGAAGGCGGCGUUCUGGACUGCAACUGACACUGAGGAACGAAAGCCAGGGGAGCAAACGGGAUUAGAUACCCCGGUAGUCCUGGCCCUAAACGAUGAAUGCUUGGUGUGGCGGGUAUCGAUCCCUGCCGUGCCGAAGUUAACGCGAUAAGCAUUCCGCCUGGGGAGUACGGUCGCAAGGCUG
Molecule: ribosomal RNA, 373 nt
Filed under: uncultured bacterium
Lineage: Bacteria
Description: bacterial SSU rRNA
Rfam family: Bacterial small subunit ribosomal RNA
Source: RNAcentral